Non-coding RNA from Brassica napus (rape), 111 nucleotides. The record is from Rfam. Lineage: Eukaryota; Viridiplantae; Streptophyta; Magnoliopsida; Brassicales; Brassicaceae.
GAUAUUGGAUGAACCAUAGUCUUGUUUCUCUCCUAACAUUAUAUUAAUCAGAUAUUAAUGCUUGUUUUCCUCUCUUCAUGGAACUUCAAGUUUGGCUAUUCUGUUACAUUC